This is a non-coding RNA of Schistosoma rodhaini, 97 nucleotides long. The record is from Rfam. NCBI's taxonomy places the organism in Eukaryota, Metazoa, Platyhelminthes, Trematoda, Strigeidida, Schistosomatidae.
AUAUUACUGAGGUGUCCAAAAUUAUAAAUAAAAUAGCUUUCGAAUGUUAUUUAGCUUUUCAACCAAUACCAAAUAGGACGAAACGCGCGUCCUGGAU